RNAcentral lists this ribosomal RNA (507 nucleotides) under uncultured bacterium. RNAcentral describes it as "bacterial SSU rRNA". It matches the Rfam family "Bacterial small subunit ribosomal RNA", at positions 60 to 568 of the family's 1533-position model. The record is from RNAcentral.
AACGGAGCGCGUGAGAGCGAACAUUUCGGUGGGAGCAUUCGCGCGGCUUAGUGGCGGACGGGUGAGUAACGCGUGGACAAUCUGCCGCGCACAGGGGAAUAACAGCCGGAAACGGCUGCUAAUGCCGCAUAUGCGCGCAGCGUCGCAUGACGCAGCGCGGAAAGCAAUUUGCGGUGCGCGAUGAGUCCGCGUCCGAUUAGGCAGUUGGCGGGGUGACGGCCCACCAAACCGACGAUCGGUAGCCGGCCUGAGAGGGCGGACGGCCACACUGGGACUGAGACACGGCCCAGACUCCUGCGGGAGGCAGCAGUGGGGAAUAUUGCACAAUGGGGGAAACCCUGAUGCAGCGACGCCGCGUGAAGGAAGAAGUAUCUCGGUAUGUAAACUUCUAUCGGCAGGGAAGAAAACGGACGGUACCUGACUAAGAAGCCCCGGCUAACUACGUGCCAGCAGCCGCGGUAAUACGUAGGGGGCGAGCGUUAUCCGGAUUUACUGGGUGUAAAGGGA